AUUGAACGCUGGCGGCAGGCCUAACACAUGCAAGUCGAGCGGAUGAAGGGAGCUUGCUCCUGGAUUCAGCGGCGGACGGGUGAGUAAUGCCUAGGAAUCUGCCUGGUAGUGGGGGAUAACGUCCGGAAACGGGCGCUAAUACCGCAUACGUCCUGAGGGAGAAAGUGGGGGAUCUUCGGACCUCACGCUAUCAGAUGAGCCUAGGUCGGAUUAGCUAGUUGGUGGGGUAAAGGCCUACCAAGGCGACGAUCCGUAACUGGUCUGAGAGGAUGAUCAGUCACACUGGAACUGAGACACGGUCCAGACUCCUACGGGAGGCAGCAGUGGGGAAUAUUGGACAGUGGGCGAAAGCCUGAUCCAGCCAUGCCGCGUGUGUGGAGAAGGUCUUCGGAUUGUAAAACACUUUAAGUUGGGGGGAAGGGCAGUAAGUUAAUACCUUGCUGUUUUGACGUUACCAACAGAAUAAGCACCGGCUAACUUCGUG
RNAcentral lists this ribosomal RNA (484 nucleotides) under uncultured bacterium. Its description in RNAcentral is "partial 16S ribosomal RNA". It matches the Rfam family "Bacterial small subunit ribosomal RNA", at positions 30 to 507 of the family's 1533-position model. The record is from RNAcentral.